UUAAUUUCGUUUCAUCGUAUUGGGAUAUUCCGAAGAAUAUCACUGAUGAGUUUCAAUCAGAUUGUUGGUUCAUCACACUUGUCAGACAAGUGGAUUUUAAAAUGACCAGAAAUAUGCUUGCGCACAUUCUGGGAGAUGAAAAGUAUCCGAAAAUACUUUUCAAACAAUUUCAUUUCACGUGACUGAAGACGGAACUCGCCGAAGCUUGCUCCGAAUUCGUGUUUUUGAAGGUGUGGUAAUGAUCCUUCCGCAGGUUCACCUACGGAAA
This 268-nucleotide unclassified non-coding RNA is filed under the name uncultured fungus. Its description in RNAcentral is "sequence contains ITS1". The record is from RNAcentral. Lineage: Eukaryota; Fungi.